GCCCUGAUGGCGGAAUUGGUAGACGCGUCGGUCUCAAAAACCGAUGAACGUGAGUUCGUGCCGGUUCGAUCCCGGCUCGGGGUA
RNAcentral lists this transfer RNA (84 nucleotides) under Bacteroidota bacterium. RNAcentral describes it as "tRNA-Leu". It matches the Rfam family "tRNA". Rfam says of the family: Transfer RNA (tRNA) molecules are approximately 80 nucleotides in length. Their secondary structure includes four short double-helical elements and three loops (D, anti-codon, and T loops). Lineage: Bacteria; Pseudomonadati; Bacteroidota. The record is from RNAcentral.